GCACCCAUAGCUCAGCUGGAUAGAGCGCCGGACUUCGAAUCCGUAGGUCGUAGGUUCGAAUCCUACUGGGUGUA
This 74-nucleotide transfer RNA is filed under the name Spirochaetaceae bacterium. Its description in RNAcentral is "tRNA-Arg". It matches the Rfam family "tRNA". From Rfam's summary of the family: Transfer RNA (tRNA) molecules are approximately 80 nucleotides in length. Their secondary structure includes four short double-helical elements and three loops (D, anti-codon, and T loops). Further hydrogen bonds mediate the characteristic L-shaped molecular structure. tRNAs have two regions of fundamental functional importance: the anti-codon, which is responsible for specific mRNA codon recognition, and the 3' end, to which the tRNAs corresponding amino acid is attached (by aminoacyl-tRNA synthetases). tRNAs cope with the degeneracy of the genetic code in two manners: having more than one tRNA (with a specific anti-codon) for a particular amino acid; and 'wobble' base-pairing, i.e. permitting non-standard base-pairing at the 3rd anti-codon position. RNAcentral also lists the same sequence under 2 other names. Lineage: Bacteria; Pseudomonadati; Spirochaetota; Spirochaetia; Spirochaetales; Spirochaetaceae. The record is from RNAcentral.